UUCUUCCAAAGCCAACUUGUAAUAUUUGGGGUUGCGCAGGGACAAAUAGGACACAACUAAACAACGUACAGGAUAAUUUAGAAAUUUAAUUAAGAAUUAAUAUACAUAGAAAAAUGUUCGUAUUAAAGUUCAUCAAUAUUCAUGAAAUAAAAUCACAUCAGUGUUCAUACUAAAUUAACGCAUGUAAUACAGUUUAGAUACGCUGCUAUACAACAACCUCAAUACAGUUUAGAUACGCUGCUAUACAGCAAACACAAUACAGUUUAAAUACGCUGCUAUACGCCAAACACAAUACAGUUUAAAUACGCUGUUA
Long non-coding RNA from Chrysoperla carnea, 313 nucleotides. RefSeq lists it as uncharacterized. The transcript is spliced from 3 exons. NCBI's taxonomy places the organism in Eukaryota, Metazoa, Arthropoda, Insecta, Neuroptera, Chrysopidae. The record is from RefSeq and is a predicted model, not a curated record.